This 253-nucleotide ribosomal RNA is filed under the name uncultured bacterium. RNAcentral describes it as "partial 16S ribosomal RNA". It matches the Rfam family "Bacterial small subunit ribosomal RNA", at positions 524 to 776 of the family's 1533-position model. The record is from RNAcentral.
UACGUAGGUGGCAAGCGUUGUCCGGAUUUACUGGGUGUAAAGGGCGUGUAGGCGGGUAAACAAGUCAGAUGUGAAAGCCCGGGGCUUAACUCCGGAAAUGCAUCUGAAACUGUAUAUCUUGAGUAUUGGAGAGGAAAGCGGAAUUCCCAGUGUAGCGGUGAAAUGCGUAGAGAUUGGGAGGAACAUCAGUGGCGAAGGCGGCUUUCUGGACAAUAACUGACGCUGAGGCGCGAAAGCGUGGGGAGCAAACAGG